AGAAUUUUUCAAUCAUCAACGGCCAGUUGAUGAGUGAAUCCCGUCGGUGUGUAUUCUUUUGGAUUGCUUAUGCUCGGCUGGCUGGUGAUACGUACUCCCUCCGUCCGGAAAUACUUGUCCUGAAAAUAAAGAAAAUGAAUGUAUCUAUAACUAAAAUAAGUCUAGAUACAUCCAUUUCUAGAACAAGUAUUUCCGGACGGAGGGAGUACACACGUAGUACCUCCUGCUUGCCAGCCAGCCAGUGGAGUGUAGAGGUCGAUCGAGCUGGCCAUCGAUUGGUGUAGUACAUAUCUCUCUAUAUUUUCCAUAUAGUACGUAAUGCAUCUCAGUAGAUCGCUUCUUUCAUUGAUUAAUUUGUUUGGCGUACGUAAUAACACAAUUCAACGAGAUUGAUAUGGUAUACAGAGAGUACAACUAAUUCUUCCAUGUACUACACCAGACUAGCUAGUAGUACUAGCAGUUGGGUAAAG
RNAcentral lists this long non-coding RNA (470 nucleotides) under Triticum aestivum (bread wheat). RNAcentral's name for it is "long non-coding RNA (TAES_LNC001870)". The stretch from base 89 to 212 matches the Rfam family "MIR1120/MIR1122 microRNA precursor family". Lineage: Eukaryota; Viridiplantae; Streptophyta; Magnoliopsida; Poales; Poaceae. The record is from RNAcentral.